GCUGUCCUUCCUUUCCACAACCAGGCAGCAUGGAGCAUGUGGGCAGCAGCAAAUGAGAGUCCAUUGCCUUUGCAGGGUACAAAUCGUAUAGUUUUUCAAGAUACGAUUGGAACACUCACAAUUAAUUAUCAGGAAUAGGCAGGCAGCCAGUCGCAUGGUCCAAGAAUCAAUCUCGACUUCAAAGUUCAGUACUGCCUCCAUGUUUCUCCUUGGCAUUGGCAUUAGGUUCCCACCAACCUUUUUUCCUUUGGUCUUGACACAAUAAUAAGACACAGACAUGGACUUCUACUGACCAUAUCAAAAGAAUAAAUCAAUUGCUGCCAGCAAGAUAUCCACCUCUCCUUUUCAAGCAGAUAAGGAGGGUGGGCAGAUAAGGUCAGAGAUAAAG
This is a long non-coding RNA of Zingiber officinale, 388 nucleotides long. RefSeq lists it as uncharacterized. The record is from RefSeq and is a predicted model, not a curated record. The transcript is spliced from 3 exons. Lineage: Eukaryota; Viridiplantae; Streptophyta; Magnoliopsida; Zingiberales; Zingiberaceae.